Molecule: ribosomal RNA, 253 nt
Filed under: uncultured bacterium
Lineage: Bacteria
Description: partial 16S ribosomal RNA
Rfam family: Bacterial small subunit ribosomal RNA
Source: RNAcentral
UACGAAGGGGGCUAGCGUUGCUCGGAAUCACUGGGUGUAAAGCGCGCGUAGGUGGUUUGUUAAGUUGGAUGUGAAAGCCCCGGGCUCAACCUGGGAACUGCAUUCAAAACUGACAAGCUAGAGUAUGGUAGAGGGUGGUGGAAUUUCCUGUGUAGCGGUGAAAUGCGUAGAUAUAGGAAGGAACACCAGUGGCGAAGGCGACCACCUGGACUGAUACUGACACUGAGGAGCGAAAGUGUGGGGAGCGAACAGG